GUAAAAUCAGCAUUCCUCAAUGGUGAACUCAUGGAGGAGGUGUAUGUUGGGCAGCCACCAGGCUAUGUCGUUGCUGGGAAGGAGAAUCAGGUGCUGAAGCUAUCGAAGGCACUAUAUGGCCCGCGCCAAGUACCAAGGGUCUGGUAUGCAAAACUUCAUGAGACUCUGGAUGCACUUGGGUUCACUCGCAGCCCUCUGGAGCAUGCAGUUUAUAGGAGGGGAGAUGCGCACUCGUACUUGCUGGUGGGGGUGUAUGUGGAUUACUUGAUCAUUACUGGCACUGACAAGGAUCACAUCAUUCAGUUCAAGGAGCAAAUGUAG
Molecule: ribosomal RNA, 321 nt
Filed under: Triticum aestivum (bread wheat)
Lineage: Eukaryota; Viridiplantae; Streptophyta; Magnoliopsida; Poales; Poaceae
Description: partial small subunit ribosomal RNA
Source: RNAcentral